AAAUGUAGUAGACUUUAAGUAUACAUGUGGAACUGGGGAGUAUACUAAGUACACUACGUUUAU
Molecule: microRNA precursor, 63 nt
Organism: Oreochromis aureus
Lineage: Eukaryota; Metazoa; Chordata; Actinopteri; Cichliformes; Cichlidae
Source: Ensembl